Molecule: ribosomal RNA, 835 nt
Filed under: uncultured archaeon
Lineage: Archaea
Description: bacterial SSU rRNA
Rfam family: Archaeal small subunit ribosomal RNA
Source: RNAcentral
GGUUACUGCUAUCGGUGUUCGUCUAAGCCAUGCGAGUCAUAUGUAGCAAUACAUGGCGUACUGCUCAGUAACACGUGGAUAACCUGCCCUUGGGUCCGGCAUAACCCCGGGAAACUGGGGAUAAUUCCGGAUAACGCACAUAUGCUGGAAUGCUUUAUGCGUGAAAUGGAUUCGUCUGCCCAAGGAUGGGUCUGCGGCCUAUCAGGUAGUAGUGGGUGUAAUGUACCUACUAGCCUACGACGGGUACGGGUUGUGAGAGCAAGAGCCCGGAGAUGGAUUCUGAGACAUGAAUCCAGGCCCUACGGGGCGCAGCAGGCGCGAAAACUUUACAAUGCGGGAAACCGUGAUAAGGGGACACCGAGUGCCAGCAUCCUAUGCUGGCUGUCCGGGUGUGUAAAAUACACCUGUUAGCAAGGGCCGGGCAAGACCGGUGCCAGCCGCCGCGGUAACACCGGCGGCCCGAGUGGUGAUCGUGAUUAUUGGGUCUAAAGGGUCCGUAGCCGGUUUGGUCAGUCCUCCGGGAAAUCUGACAGCUUAACUGUUAGGCUUUCGGAGGAUACUGCCAGACUUGGAACCGGGAGAGGUAAGAGGUACUACAGGGGUAGGAGUGAAAUCUUGUAAUCCCUGUGGGACCACCUGUGGCGAAGGCGUCUUACCAGAACGGGUUCGACGGUGAGGGACGAAAGCUGGGGGCACGAACCGGAUUAGAUACCCGGGUAGUCCCAGCCGUAAACGAUGCUCGCUAGGUGUCAGGCAUGGCGCGACCGUGUCUGGUGCCGCAGGGAAGCCGUGGAGCGAGCCACCUGGGAAGUACGGCCGCAAGGCUGAAACUUAA